Molecule: ribosomal RNA, 399 nt
Filed under: uncultured bacterium
Lineage: Bacteria
Description: partial 16S ribosomal RNA
Rfam family: Bacterial small subunit ribosomal RNA
Source: RNAcentral
AAUAUUGGACAAUGGGCGCAAGCCUGAUCCAGCCAUGCCGCGUGGAUGAUGAAGGCCUUAGGGUUGUAAAGUCCUUUUAACGGGGAAGAUAAUGACGGUACCCGUAGAAUAAGCCCCGGCUAACUUCGUGCCAGCAGCCGCGGUAAUACGAAGGGGGCUAGCGUUGCUCGGAAUCACUGGGCGUAAAGCGCACGUAGGCGGCUUUCUAAGUCAGGGGUGAAAUCCUGGAGCUCAACUCCAGAACUGCCUUUGAUACUGGGAAGCUUGAGUUCGGGAGAGGUGAGUGGAACUGCGAGUGUAGAGGUGAAAUUCGUAGAGAUGUGGAGGAACACCGAUGGCGAAGGCAGCCCCCUGGGCCGAUACUGACGCUCAUGCACGAAAGCGUGGGUAGCAAACAGG